RNAcentral lists this long non-coding RNA (1572 nucleotides) under Homo sapiens (human). RNAcentral describes it as "non-protein coding lnc-TXNRD3-3:1". The record is from RNAcentral. Lineage: Eukaryota; Metazoa; Chordata; Mammalia; Primates; Hominidae.
GAGACGCGAACUCCGGCUGUAGCGUGGGGCAGCGGAUCUACACGGUGUGAGGUGUGGGGCUGCAGAAUCCAGGGUGACGGGCCAGAGCUGUCCAGGCAAUACCCCCAGCCUGCAUGGCAAGGCUGAGGGGCAGACACCCAGCACUCAGUUACUGUACUCACAACCGCCACUCCCAGGCAGGAGGCAUCCGGGAGGGCCUCCCGGUGGACGCAACCAGGCCAAGGAAGGGGAAGCCGGCAACAGGAGCAUCGAUAACAGAGCAGAUGGGCCAGGAAAACCCCGUCGUGGGAGGGCUGAGUCCCGGCUGGGGACUUGGCCCCCAUCUGUAGCCUGAGGGGUGCGGUUUUUGCUGUGUGAAUCACGUCACCCCUACAGAAGAGGAACUCUCUACAGUUCACAUGGUUAACAGGGAAAGGGAAUGGACUCAUACCGGGCCCAGGUGUCCCUCCGCGUCUCACCCCGCUCCUCCCUCCCCAGGAGCAGCCACAACCCUCAUUUUUGUGUUCAUCUUUAAGUGCUUUUCUUUGGGUGUGACCUCUUAUAUUUGCACCCCAGAAUGGGACGCUGUUUUGGGUGGCUUGUUCUGGGCAUUACAGAAACGGGGUCACUCAGCCUGUGCUGUUUGCUCUGUCUGCUCUGUGUGGUGAGGGCACAGGGCAGCUGCUCGCAGGCAUCGUCUUCGCAGCCUGUUUUGUUGGGCUCCUGCUCGCCCAUUCUCCUGCCGAUGGACAUGGGAUUGUCGCCUAUCUGGAGCCAUGAUGAGCAAAGCUGUGAUGAGCAUCCUGUGUGUGCCUCUCGGUGGGCACCUUUAGAUCCAGGGACGGUCUGCAGGGUCACGGGGAGGAGAAGAGAAAGAGGACAAAGCCGAAAAAAUAUUGAAGAAGCAAUCUCCUAAACUUGGCAAAAGACAUAAAUGUAAGGAUUUAAGAAGCUGAAUGAACUCCAAACGUUAUAAACCCAAGGAAAUCCACACCAAGACAUAUCACAGUCAGACUUCCAAAAACUAAACAACAACAAACCCCAAUUUUGAAAGCAGCCACGUAACCACCUUCCAAAAAACAUGGAUGUCUCAUCAGAAAGCAUGGAGGCAAGAAAUAAGUGGAACGUUUUUAAGUGCCAUAAGAAAAGAGCUGUCAACCAUAAAUUCUAUACCCAGUGAAACUAUCCCUCAGGAAUGAGGAGGAAUCAAGACCUUCUCAGGUGAAGGGAAAAGUAAGUUUGUUGCCAGCAAACCUACUGUGAAAGGAGGGCCAAAGGAAGUUCUUCUCAUGGAAAGAAAGUGAUAAGGAAGGAAUCUUGAGACAUCAGGAAGAAAGUACAAUGGAAAGAGCAAAACUAUGGGUAAAUACAAUGGACCCCUUCUCUGAAGGUUUCUAAGUUACAUUUGGUGGUUGAAGCAAAAAUUAUAGCAUUGUCGAAUGUCUCAAUGUAUGUAGAAAAAAUAUUUAGGAUAAUUAUAUUAUAAAUGGAAGGGGAAAAGGGACACAAAGAGAGGGAAGCUUUCUACAUGUCACUCGAAAUGGUAAAAUGUUGAUGGCAGUAGACUGUGAUAAGUACAUAUGUAUAAUGCAG